This 253-nucleotide ribosomal RNA is filed under the name uncultured bacterium. RNAcentral's name for it is "partial 16S ribosomal RNA". It matches the Rfam family "Bacterial small subunit ribosomal RNA", at positions 524 to 776 of the family's 1533-position model. The record is from RNAcentral.
UACGGAGGGUGCAAGCGUUAUCCGGAUUCACUGGGUUUAAAGGGUGCGUAGGUGGGCCUGUAAGUCAGUGGUGAAAUCUCCGGGCUUAACUCGGAACGGUCAAGUGAUACUGUCGGACUAGAGUACAGAAGGGGCAACUGGAAUUCUCGGUGUAGCGGUGAAAUGCGUAGAUAUCGAGAGGAACACCUGCGGCGAAGGCGGGUUGCUGGGCUGAUACUGACGCUGAGGCGCGAAAGCCAGGGGAGCGAACGGG